Eragrostis curvula (weeping love grass) is the source of this 71-nucleotide non-coding RNA. Lineage: Eukaryota; Viridiplantae; Streptophyta; Magnoliopsida; Poales; Poaceae. The record is from the annotation of a GenBank genome assembly.
AUCAGAGUAGCGCAGCGGAAGCGUAGUGGGCCCAUAACCCACAGCCCAGGAUCGAAGGACUGGAUUGGCUA